Long non-coding RNA from Magallana angulata, 4783 nucleotides. RefSeq lists it as uncharacterized. The record is from RefSeq and is a predicted model, not a curated record. NCBI's taxonomy places the organism in Eukaryota, Metazoa, Mollusca, Bivalvia, Ostreida, Ostreidae. The transcript has 3 exons.
GGGAUAGGGGGAUAAAAAUCAAUCCUUUAAACAUAUCUAUAAAAUAUUGAUUUUAAUAUUGACUUUUAAACCAAUUUUCCUUCAAAAUAAUUUAAUCACCAAUCUUUGUAACAAAAUUCUUUUAUAACCUUUAAUCAUAAAUUUUUAUGGGCAUAUACCUAUAGUUAAGCAAUUCAAUUUUCAAAUUACAAUACAGAGAUAAUGUUCAUGCUAAUAUUCAACAAAUAUUUCCACAUAACAAGAAAGUUAAGAAACCCAAGCUUCUUCCAUUUUUCUAAAAAGAGUUAUCUCUCUUCUCAAUAGAUUUUCAUGGCAAAUUAUUUGCAAGUUAAUCACUUCAAAACCUUUUAUUAUUGAAAUAUUCAGUGACAACUAAAUAAACUUUAAAAGUUUGAUUAUAAUUCAUUUUGCUCUUAUACAAAGACCAGAAAGUAUGUCCUUCCUUUUAGUGAAUAAUUAAAGUCAACAUUAUUUACCUGCAUGUACACAUAAAAUUUUAUAGGACUUGCACGAUUGAAAAACAUAUACCAAGUUUGGAGAUGGUAACCCAUCAUUAUAUUAUUAAUGUAAUAUAAGUGAAAAAAAAUUAUAUGAACUAUUUAUUAUUUGUCCUUAUAUAAUUAUUAUCCAUAAAUGAUUUCUGAGCAACAGUUCAUAAUCUCUUUGUUGCAAGUAACACUUAUCAAAGAGAUGUUACACAAAUUAUAUAGUUUAUAAUAAAUAACAAAUAAGGUCCUUUAACUUCAUUAUUGUUAAUAAUACAUAUGCAAAAUACUGUAUUUAAAAUACACUUAGACUAAUUAAACCUGAUGUUUUUAUGAUCAAAUAUUUUUAUUUUCCAUUGUCUUUGUCUGCGAUAUAUGAGCCUAUAAACGCUUUAAGGAAUAAGGAAUCAUUCCCAAGUUUGAAUAUUAUGAGGUGAUAAUUUUGGUUGGGCGUGAUCAAAUCCCAAAGACCUUUACGCCCUGACCAAAAUCAUCACUUAAAUCAAUGAUCGCUACCUUCAUAACCCACAUGAAUCACCAAAAGUGAGCAUUUGAUUGUUUACAUUAACAUCUUUAUUUUAACUAAUUAAUAAAUUGAGCGUAAAAAGUAGAUAAAAUUCACUAAAUUACUGUUAAUGUACAUAAGUACGUUAGCUAAAAGAAACAGCCAAAUCGUCUCCAGUGAGACUUUGAGUCUGACAUCAUCAUGGUUAGUUCGUGCAGUCCGUGAUUUUUCUUAGGUAGUUGUAGGUCUCGACCAAAUGAUAAACAGGGCGUGUCAAAUUCAAUCCUGUCACUUUCUUGUCAGUUUCAGCCGCCGUAGAUUUUGACCAAUCAAUAAACGGGGCGUGUAGAUUUCAGUCUGGCUGUUCUAUAGAGUUAUGAAUUAACUAUAUGCUUCCGUAAGAAAUAGAGGGAAUAAUACUUGGUGGAUGUAAAUAUAGUGUUAUCACCGGCAAAGACAUUGAAAAAUGUAAUUUAAAUAUCAUUUAAUAGUUCAAUACAUUUCAUCAAUGACGUAAAUAAAGUAAAUUGGGGGGACAAGCAGAAAUUCCAUGAUUUUAUACAAUGAAAAUAUGUUAACAUAACGUUAAAUAUGUAAAUUUUUUAUUACUGUAGUUUCAUUCAUUUUCGUGGGUAUCAGUUUUCGUGGAUUUUCUGAAAACCUAAAUUCGUGGCCAAUGAUCCUAUCAAUACAAAUUGUUAGUUAAAAUUGAACUUCAAUGAACAUUUAAUUUCGUGGACCAACUUAUAACAACGAAAUCCACGAAAAUUGGUAUUCAACGAAUAUUGAUGAAACCACAGUAAUAAAUAUUAAAUUCAGCAAUUGUUGAUAUAUUUAUUAGAACUAGGAUUUUUUAAGAAUCGUUCUUUGAAUAUUAUAAGGCGAUCAAAUACAAUAAGGUGUGAUCAAAUCUAUCAAUAAGCCCUUUGGGCUUCAUUGAUUGGAUUUUAUCACAAAUGAUCGUAUUUGAUCUCUACAUAACGUUAAUACUCAAAUAUUGAUUUCUUAUUCCUUAAAUAAUGAUAAUCUAACCAGUGAAAAUAGACUUUCUGCAUAUAUUAAUGAUUUUGUUUAGAAUUACAUAUAUGUAUAUUUUGAGAAAGAAUAUAUGUAAUGCACUUUUUUACGGAAUGACUGAGGUCUAUCAAUGGCAUACACGGAUCUAUCGAAGCCGUAACAUUUCUUACAGCUGUACGGUGACGACACGUCAGUUAGGCCUAACGUUAUAUAUAGCCUAACUGUAUACGGCGUGUCACUAUCGCGCAUUUUACAUUAGGCUUAUUUCUUCACAACUUUUUUUAUCAUGAUCUUUUGAUUUAAAUUACGCAAAAAUAAGUGUGUCGUGAAUAUUAGAUGAUCAGUCCUCUUCCAUUUCGCAUAACGAAUGUCUGCUUCGCUGAUAGUACGGAGGGAAACAUGUCGUCAUCAAUCCAGUUAGGACUAGUUUCACCUAAGGGAAAAUUUCAAAACCCAUUUUUUCUCGUACCCAACAGAUUAUUGUCGUUUCUGCUUUGGUGAAAACAUGAACUGAAUUAAUAGGUAUAAUUAAUUUUACAACCACAUAUACAUAUACAUGUAUAUAUAGGAAUAUGAAGUAAAUCGAUCAAAAUUGAGCAAAUUUCGGGCUGCUACGGUACACUUGCACUAAAGAGAGUCAACGUAAAUCUCAAUAUCUGAUGAUGAUGAUGAUGACGAUCGAGAUAUCAUCAUGAUGAUGACGGUGAUGAUUUCUAUGCGAAUAUUUCGAACAUUUGCACGGAUACGACAUCGAGACAAAUCAGAAAAGUCUCGUGCAUUAAAUAAAGUAUGUUGAAAAAAUAUAAAGGUUUAAUUAACUUUUUACAAAUCAUCUGUAAAUUCAAAAAUUAUCACCCUUUGCGCUUAUAUCUUAUAGUAUACAAAAUAUCCCGCUGAUUGUCGAUAAAUUGUUUCAAGGAUAGAUUUGCCACGUGGUCACCAAGCAUGUUUCAUGACGGGUUCGGGCCUUGAUAAUGUGCAUAAUUCAAUGCACCUUUGGCUUAAAACCACAUCCUGUGAAAUUUCUCUUCAUAUCAAUUUCUAAGAACAAAAAUUAAAAUGUCAGAUUUAUUACAUUAUUAAAAUUCAAAAGUUGACACCACCGUCUCUCAGUAUCAUCGCAACUCUAAAAAUAACCCGUGCAGGGCCUCUCUGCAAUAAAAAUAUAUCACGUGACGUUAAAGAAAGGGGUCGACUCAAGAUCGCCAAAUACAAUGGUCGACAACAUCGACGUCUAUGCCGAAAGCUUUGUGUUGAUACCGAUACAAACAAAGGGAAAUUUAUGUAAUCCAAAUAUGAUUCAUAAAGACGGAUAGCAUGUUAAGCACAGGAUUCAAACGUAUAUACAGAGUUUUCGUGGUUGUCGUCGAACGACAGAAUCCAAAAUGGCCACCUAGCCCUUAACGCAUGCGUGUGGAAUAAUAUGCAAAUAGCUAUUCUAACCAAUGAAAAGCUGGUGCUGUAGGCUAUAUCCCCUCGCCCUGUUGCAACAUAUUAUUUUCUAUGAGUAAUGCAGGGGUGAUAUCAAAGUACGAUAUUCAAAUAUCAUGGUUAUACCAGCUAUUGAGUUGUUCCCUAAAAUAUGACGAAUGGAAAAUUUUGUUGUUGAUCGCUUUGAGAGGCCACGAUGGGGAACAAAAUGGUGGAAAACGGAAAUGGAAGAAAAAGAUUUUGAUAGCGUUUCAGUUCAAUAAUUUUAACAGGUCCUAUCAUUUUGACCACACUGAAAAGUGCAUUUUAAUUUGUCAACCUGUAACACCUCUAUCUAAAACCUGAUCAGAAUAAGCUACACACGAGGUCGCAAACGACAGAGACACGCGUACAUUUGGAAAACGUUCUGAAUGAGCUAACACGAGAUGACACGGGUGCAUUCGAAACAGAAAUUUCAAUUGAUAAUCAUACCUCUUCCACGAUUGAUAUAUAUUAUACAAGUAUGAAGUAUGAUUGGCAAAAACGCGAUAUUUAUGACACGCACUGCGUUUACUGAUGGGCAUCUUGUAAAGCACAGUAAAUGUCGAAAAUUUGCCCAGUUGAUCUCGUGUUGUUUCACAUUGAUACUGAAUCUGUCCAGUGCAUCCAGAACGAUUAAAAGAUAAAUGUGUAUGUACAUUAUUCGUAUGAUACAGUGGAUUUUUUUCCCACCGCACGUUAAAAUAAACCUAUCGAAUACACAGAUACAUGUGUAUGUACAUGUACAUUUUUCGUACGAUACAGUGGAGUUUUUUUUCCACCGCACGUUAAAAUAAACCUAUCGAAUACACACACUUUUUGGGAGGGGGCAGGGGCACUUAAUCAUGCACAUACACUUUAAAGACGAUUCCUUCAUUAGUAGCAAUAAAUUAGAUCUGUAGAAUCUUACCAGAGACAUAAAAACAUUAUAACGUUAUGUAUGUUUCCGAUCUUAUUUCGCACUAAAAUUCUAUCAUUUAGUUACACGACAAACACCGGCGAAUACGCUCCUGUCAGGCUAGCUGCAGGUCUGUAGCUCCCCCUCGAAAAAAAAUAUUGGACGGACGACUUUGAAGCUACAGUUCCGUACAUAUCUACGUCGAAUUUUCCCAAACCGAGAGCUAUAUACAGACAUGUAGCUACUGUCGGGCGCGUGGACUGGUUUUGAAAUCAUUCAAGAAACUUAUGUUUUUCCAAUUACACAUGUAUAUUUAGAAAAAUGGACAUUGUGUAUCAAGUCGCAAUGCGUUGAGUUCGUUUCCUACUCUGUCAUCUUGAUUGGGAAAGCACCAUGAAAAAAAAUUUGGAAAAGGUGUAUUGAAUAGGA